RNAcentral lists this non-coding RNA (27 nucleotides) under Rattus norvegicus (Norway rat). Lineage: Eukaryota; Metazoa; Chordata; Mammalia; Rodentia; Muridae. The record is from RNAcentral.
UCCUUAGUUUCUAGGGCUUGGAAUCCA